Daphnia pulicaria is the source of this 588-nucleotide long non-coding RNA. RefSeq lists it as uncharacterized. NCBI's taxonomy places the organism in Eukaryota, Metazoa, Arthropoda, Branchiopoda, Diplostraca, Daphniidae. The transcript is spliced from 4 exons. The record is from RefSeq and is a predicted model, not a curated record.
AAGGGAUUGACAAAGGGAUUGAUUUUGAAUUGACCCCUGGUACGGGAAAACAAAAAAAAAACUUGCAACUUUGUUAUGAAAAAAAAAAAAUAUGUAAAACCGGCACUUGAAUUUGGAAGAUGUUCUCCCCAUUAUCAACGACCGGGAAGUCACCAUUAAAGAUCUUGCAUGAAGGCAAUGAGCAGUGAAUCAGUCAAAGAUUUGACUUACCACUGCCAAAGACAUGUCGUAUGAUUUUACUUUAAAUGAGAUGAAAACUCAGCGAAAGAAUCAAGAAUUGGAUAUGUGAGCACAGAAAGCUCCUGAGGUGUUCUGUGUCUUCCACCAACAGUUCGGGUCUUUUUAUACUCAGCUUUUCGGCCAAACUACGCCCUUCUUACACGCAGCCGUCGUCACAACACCAAUCGCAAUCUUGACGGGGCGGUUUCCAAGUCUCAGUGUCUUCAACUAUUCCCGAGGCGAAUUCACUUUCCCUGGACUUCUUUAACCAUAGGUAUAGACUAGACUAGCUAGACUGAUUCUGCUGUUUUCCCCGUGAAGUGAUGUGCUUCCUGUGGAUGAACUUGGCGCAUUUUAAACGAAACUAAC